Molecule: long non-coding RNA, 821 nt
Filed under: Mus spicilegus (steppe mouse)
Lineage: Eukaryota; Metazoa; Chordata; Mammalia; Rodentia; Muridae
Description: lncRNA (ENSMSIG00000006044.1)
Source: RNAcentral
CUAAAACGUGGCCUUCCAUCAGUCAAAUGGUGGCAUAGCCCACUAAAGCCUGGCCUGCAGCCACAGCGAGCCGGCCAAAAGGCAAGCCGCAGUGGCACACCCCAGCUAUACAGAUGGAUGCCUAGCGCCCUUCCAGCUGCAGAGCUUCUCAGGACUGGAGGAGGAAGGAAGAACUUUUCCUUGAAUGGUUUAAGAAGUGUAGCAGUUAUCAAAGAGUCCCGUGUAAGAAGGGACUUCAGAAAAGUGAAGGCUGCCAAUCCGAGUAGUACUCAGAUGUGAGGGACUGCUGAUCUUGGAUUUUUCCAUUAAAUUCAGCUGAUCAUAUUGAUCAAUAGAUAAACGUAAGUGGCCUCACAUUUUAAAGAUCAAAUUGCAGUGUUUCUCACUGUGCCAAACAAUGUCAGUGCUUUAUUUAAUAAUUCUCUUCUGUGCCAUGGCAUUUGUCUACUUAUGUAUCACACUGUCACUUACUCGUUUAUAAUCAAACAUGUAACGUAUAUAAAUGUAAUGUGCAUUAUUGCCAGUUUUAUUCAAUAGGCUAUGGACCUCAUGUGCAUAUAAAAAGACAAAACUCUAGCUCUACCACAAAUUUCACAGGUGUUAUCUACACAUUAAGUAAUUGUAGAACACAGGACUGCUAAUCUCAGCUCGCUCUGUGAUGUCAAGUGCAGAAUGUAAGUUAACUAGUGAUUUCCGUAUACUUUUGAUAUCACUUGUAUCUGUGUAUCUUUUAGGAAGACACUGGUGGAGGCUGUCCCCUUUGUAUUUCUACAUACAACAAUUGUACAUAAAGCCUUAUCUAAAUUUUUAAUAAAUUGUGC